GGAAUAUUGGACAAUGGGGGAAACCCUGAUCCAGCCAUGCCGCGUGAGUGACGAAGGCCUUAGGGUUGUAAAGCUCUUUUGGCGGGGACGAUAAUGACGGUACCCGCAGAAUAAGCCCCGGCUAACUUCGUGCCAGCAGCCGCGGUAAUACGAAGGGGGCUAGCGUUGUUCGGAAUCACUGGGCGUAAAGCGCACGUAGGCGGAUUUGUUAGUCAGGGGUGAAAUCCCGGGGCUCAACCCCGGAACUGCCUUUGAUACUGCAGAUCUUGAGUCCGAGAGAGGUGAGUGGAAUUCCUAGUGUAGAGGUGAAAUUCGUAGAUAUUAGGAAGAACACCAGUGGCGAAGGCGGCUCACUGGCUCGGAACUGACGCUGAGGUGCGAAAGCGUGGGGAGCAAACAGGA
RNAcentral lists this unclassified non-coding RNA (402 nucleotides) under plant metagenome. RNAcentral describes it as "partial contains 5.8S ribosomal RNA, internal transcribed spacer 2, and large subunit ribosomal RNA". It matches the Rfam family "Bacterial small subunit ribosomal RNA", at positions 358 to 777 of the family's 1533-position model. The record is from RNAcentral.